Molecule: non-coding RNA, 1095 nt
Organism: Erythranthe guttata (spotted monkey flower)
Lineage: Eukaryota; Viridiplantae; Streptophyta; Magnoliopsida; Lamiales; Phrymaceae
Source: RefSeq, a predicted model, not a curated record
AAAAAAGCCCACACCAUCAUCAUCUCUUCUUCUCGUCUCUAUCGUCUCUCCUCUCUUCUUCAUCUUCUUCCCUUCUUUUAUUUUUCUGAACAAAUUUUCUCCAAAUGUUCAUUAAUGGAGAAAACGUUUAUACAUACUCACCCAAAAGGAAGCCGAUUGUAACCUUUAAAACGCGGCCCCUUCAUUUCCUAAUGGGCUCCUCACGCCGGCAUCAAUAACCUGACCGCCGGUGAAUUCCUCCACUAAUACUCCUCACACAAUUAAUCACCAACAAUAAUAAAUAAUAAAUACAUUUAUGUAAUUUUCUCGAACAGAUAGAAUAUUUUUAUGACAAAUUAAUUAAUAAUUAGUAACGGUUAAAAGAGAAGGAAAUCUCUGUGCAAGAAAUAGAAGAGCAGAUUUAUUUCAUUUUCGUCACACAAUUAUCACCAUUUUCCGGUAAGCUACUGCCGCCAAUUCCUCCAUCUUCAAUCCCACACUACACGCUCAGAGAUUUCAGUAAUUUCUUCGAAACAGGAACCGCCCAUUUUGGUAAUUGGAGUUUGUAUGACGAGCGCAUCGGAGCUGUUCUACAGCCGGAGGUCUCGAUUCGGUCGGAAUUCGGAUCCUUUCGGUGUCGGGGCGGAUUUGGAUUCUCCUCCGCCUCCCGAUCGGACCAAUCGCCGCACUCGCCAUUUCAACAGUCCCGGCGGCAGUCACGCUCGCCGCGAUUGGCUCGAGCCCGACGGAUGCGAUCCUUUCCGACGGUCGAUUCACCAGCUCAGGCAAACCCCACACCGCCGUCCUUCACAUCCACCUCAAGUGAGAAUCCUAUAUUCGGAUGUUGAAGGUGAAAUCCCUGCUGCAAAUUCACCCCAAUUUCAUCAAAUUCAUAAAUCUUGAAAACUUAUAUUCGGAAGUUGAAGGUGGAAAGUGGGUUUCAACUAAGGAAGCAUUUCUUGUCCAGUUGAGAAUACCUAUUAUUUCUUUGCCAGGUUACUGACUUUAGGAAGACGAUGAUAAUUUCCCUUUUCUCUUUUUUUUUUGUUUAUUUAUUUUUAAUGAUUUAUUUAUAUUUAAUAUAUAGCAGUUAAGUGGAUUGACGAAUUUACCCCC